Molecule: long non-coding RNA, 887 nt
Filed under: Mustela putorius furo (domestic ferret)
Lineage: Eukaryota; Metazoa; Chordata; Mammalia; Carnivora; Mustelidae
Description: lncRNA (ENSMPUG00000029887.1)
Source: RNAcentral
UACUUCCUCUUUGGGCAUUCCGCUUAGUCUCACGAGGCAAUCCUAACCUGGCAACUAGCCAGGCGCCAUCUUUUAAUGGCGGAGGCCGCCCUGGCCAGGGGCCUGCCUCCAACAAUGUACUAGGUUUCCAAGAAGUCUCAACAGAUUUCAAAGAAUCAUGGUCAUACAGACAAUAGUCCUCGACCAAAACACACUGUUGUUUAUCUCUGAUUUCAAUUUCACUCUAAGAGACAUCCAAAGAAGACUACACUAAAAGAGCGAGCUUCACUUAUAUCCUAAACACAAAAGAAGGGCAAUUACAAGGUGUCACUUAGGACCCAGGGUUUUCUCACCCAGGGUGACCACAGAUAGAUACAAUUUGGCAAUACCUAUCAAAAUUUAAAAUAUACAUUUCCCCUUUGCCCCCCAAUCCACUCCUAGGAAUUUUCCCCAUAGAUACACUUAUAAAUGUGCAAAGAGAAGAAUGUGCAAGGAUUUUCAUCACAGUAUUAAACCACUACUGCAAAAGAUACAAAAACUUUCACGUCCAUCAAUGCAAGAAUGAGUCAACUGCGGUCUUGUCAGGACCAUAAGCGCCACAAAAGUGUUGACUACUACCCUGCAAUUCCUUGCAGUACACAGUAGACACCAAACAAACAUCACAGUUUAAACAAGAUUUGUACAUGCCAAUCAUCAGAAAUAGGGCAAAGAGAGAAGACUUCUCCUGGAGAAAGAGCAGACUCAAGAACAAAGAAAGAACUUAUACCAUGAUGCUGGAUUUUGUUGAAAUUCACCAGGCUAACAUGUUAGAAGUUCAGAAUCAGUGUUUACUUUCUUGGUCAUCUAACCAUAAAAGCUAGGGGAAAUCUUUUCAUAUAGUAUGGGGAAUAAAAAUGCAAUGCUACAGA